Molecule: ribosomal RNA, 725 nt
Filed under: Enterobacter sp. AIMST 2.P16.1
Lineage: Bacteria; Pseudomonadati; Pseudomonadota; Gammaproteobacteria; Enterobacterales; Enterobacteriaceae
Description: bacterial SSU rRNA
Rfam family: Bacterial small subunit ribosomal RNA
Source: RNAcentral
GCACCGAGGAAGCUUGCUCCUUUGGCAGCGAGCGGCACACGGGUGAGUUAUGUCUGGGACACUGCCUGAUGGAGGGAGAUAACUACUGGAAACGGUAUCUAAUACCGCAUAGCGUCGCGAGACCAAAGAGGGGGACCUUCGGGCCUCUUGCCAUCAUAUGUGCCCAUAUGGUAUUAUCUAGUAUGUGGGGUAACGGCUCACCUACGAGACUAUCCCUAUCUGGUCUGAGAAGAUGACCACCCACUCUGGAACUGACACACGGUCCACACUCCUACGGGAGGCAGCAGUGGGGAAUAUUGCACAGUGGGCGCAAGCCUGAUGCACCCGUGCCGCGUGUAUGAAAAACGCCUUCGGGUUGUAAAGUACUUUCCGCGGAGAAGAAGGUGGAGAGGUUAAUAACCUCACCUAUUGACGUUACCCGCAAAAGAAGCACCGUCUAACUCCGUGCCAGCACCCGCGGUAAUACAGAGGGUGCAAGCGUUAAUCAGAAUUACUGGGCGUAAAGCGCACGCGCGCGGUCUGUCAAGUCAGAUGUGAAAUCCCCGGUCUCAACCUGAGAACUGCAUUCAAAACUGGCACGCUAGACUCUUGUAGAGGGGGGUAGAAUUCCGUGUGUAGCGGAGAAAUGCGUAGAUAUCUGGAAGAAUACCUGUGGCGAACGCGGCCCUCUGGACAAACACUGACUCUCAUGUGCGAAAGCGUGGAGAGCACACAAGAUUAUAUAC